RNAcentral lists this long non-coding RNA (514 nucleotides) under Homo sapiens (human). RNAcentral describes it as "HSALNT0403916". The record is from RNAcentral. Lineage: Eukaryota; Metazoa; Chordata; Mammalia; Primates; Hominidae.
UGCCUCUCCAGUUCAAGCAGUUCUUGUGCCUCAGCCUCCAAGUAGCUGUGACUACAGUUGCAAGUGGAUGGCAAGCUUCCUUGUGACUUCUCAUCCUGGCAAUUUUCUGGAGUGUUUGUGACUGGACUUUAACAUUUCCAAAAUGUGGCGACAGUGACUGUUAAGUCUUCCCAAAGACGAGGGUUCCUGGGAGCCCCAGGGCUGCAAGCAUCAGGACAGCAGAGACCAAAUUCAUCAUUGAAUCCUCAACAUCUAGCACAAUAUGCCUGGCAUAAGGUGAAGAGAAGAAGAGUAUGAACUACCACGAAACUCAUUUCCCUCCGUCCUUCAAUCAAAUACAAUGACCUUCAGCUACUCUCACCAUUCUCUACUGAAAACAUCCCAACUAUCUGGAAAGAACUCACCUAAAGUUCCCCAACAUCAAAUAAACCACGUUCCAAAAGAUUCAGAGCCAGAGAGAAACAAAACGCCCUUUGUUGAUGAAGCAUUUACUCAUACAUACAUACAAGUGUGU